CCCCAGCGCCACGAGUGGGAAUCGCUUUUAUUGGGUCUAAAGCAUCCGUAGCCGGUCUGUUAAAUGUUCUGUGAAAUCGUGGCGCUCAACGUCACGACGCGCAGAGCACACUGACAGACUCGGGACCAGGAAAGGCGUUCGGUAUUCCAGGGGGAGCGGUAAAAUGUGAUAAUCCUUGGAGGACCACCAAUGGCGAAGGCAGAACGCUAGAAUGGAUUCGACGGUGAGGGAUGAAAGCUAGGGGAGCGAUUCG
This 253-nucleotide ribosomal RNA is filed under the name uncultured archaeon. RNAcentral's name for it is "partial 16S ribosomal RNA". It matches the Rfam family "Archaeal small subunit ribosomal RNA", at positions 474 to 726 of the family's 1478-position model. The record is from RNAcentral.